Molecule: ribosomal RNA, 791 nt
Filed under: uncultured fungus
Lineage: Eukaryota; Fungi
Description: partial 18S ribosomal RNA
Rfam family: Eukaryotic small subunit ribosomal RNA
Source: RNAcentral
GACGCCGUAUGAUUAUAGGGACAGUCGGGGGCAUCAGUAUUCAAUUGUCAGAGGUGAAAUUCUUGGAUUUAUUCGAAGACUAACUACUGCGAAAGCAUUUGCCAAGGAUGUUUUCAUUAAUCAGGAACGAAAGUUAGGGGAUCGAAGACGAUCAGAUACCGUCGUAGUCUUAACCAUAAACUAUGCCGAUUAGGGAUCGGACGAUGUUAUUUUUUGACUCGUUCGGCACCUUACGAUAAAUCANAAUGUUUGGGCUCCUGGGGGAGUAUGGUCGCAAGGCUGAAACUUAAAGAAAUUGACGGAAGGACACCACCAGGGGUGGAGCCUGCGGCUUAAUUUGACUCAACACGGGGAAACUCACCAGGUCCAGACACGAUGAGGAUUGACAGAUUGAGAGCUCUUNCUUGAUCUCGUGGGUGGUGGUGCAUGGCCGUUCUUAGUUGGUGGANUGAUUNGUCAGCUUAGUNGCGAUAACNAACGAGACCUUAACCUGCUANAUAGCCCGUAUUGCUUUGGCAGUACGCCGGCUUCUUANAGGGACUAUCGGCUCGAGCCGAUAGAAGUNUGANGCNAUAACAGGUCUGUGAUGCCCUUANAUGUUCUGGGCCGNACGCGCGCAACACUGACAGAGCCAGCGAGUACUCCNUUGGCCGGNAAGUCNGGNUAAUCUGGUUAAACUCUGUCGUGCUGGGGAUAGGGCAUUGCACUANUCGAANUCCNGCGGNCGCCAUGCCGGCCGGGNAUCNUGNGACCUCGGGGCCCAANGCGNCCUAUAGUGAGUCNUUAUUAAG